UAUGAACGCUGGCGGCGUGCCUAAUACAUGCAAGUCGAGCGAACAGAUGAGGAGCUUGCUCCUCUGACGUUAGCGGCGGACGGGUGAGUAACACGUGGAUAACCUACCUAUAAGACUGGGAUAACUUCGGGAAACCGGAGCUAAUACCGGAUAAUAUAUUGAACCGCAUGGUUCAAUAGUGAAAGACGGUUUUGCUGUCACUUAUAGAUGGAUCCGCGCCGCAUUAGCUAGUUGGUAAGGUAACGGCUUACCAAGGCAACGAUGCGUAGCCGACCUGAGAGGGUGAUCGGCCACACUGGAACUGAAACACGGUCCAGACUCCUACGGGAGGCAGCAGUAGGGAAUCUUCCGCAAUGGGCGAAAGCCUGACGGAGCAACGCCGCGUGAGUGAUGAAGGUCUUCGGAUCGUAAAACUCUGUUAUUAGGGAAGAACAAAUGUGUAAGUAACUAUGCACGUCUUGACGGUACCUAAUCAGAAAGCCACGGCUAACUACGUG
RNAcentral lists this ribosomal RNA (497 nucleotides) under uncultured bacterium. RNAcentral's name for it is "partial 16S ribosomal RNA". It matches the Rfam family "Bacterial small subunit ribosomal RNA", at positions 29 to 507 of the family's 1533-position model. The record is from RNAcentral.